Molecule: unclassified non-coding RNA, 287 nt
Filed under: Xylodon detriticus
Lineage: Eukaryota; Fungi; Basidiomycota; Agaricomycetes; Hymenochaetales; Schizoporaceae
Description: partial contains 5.8S ribosomal RNA, internal transcribed spacer 2, and large subunit ribosomal RNA
Source: RNAcentral
CGCACCUUGCGCUCCUUGGUAUUCCGAGGAGCAUGCCUGUUUGAGUGUCGUGAAAUCAUCAACUCCUUAUUGCUUUUUGUAAUGAGGAGCUUGGACUUGGAGACUGCUGGCCCGUAGGGUUCUGGCUUCUCUUGAAUGCAUUAGCUGAUAAUUGAUUUGCAGCAUAUAUGCGGUGUGAUAAUGUCUUCACUGUGUAGCUCAAGUCGCGAUUAGCUUCUAAUCGUCCUUCACGGGACAAUUCUUGAUCAUUAGACCUCAAAUCAGGUAGGACUACCCGCUGAACUUAA